GCGGGAGUAGCUCAGGGGUAGAGCUCUGGCUUCCCAAGCCAGUUGUCGCGGGUUCAAAUCCCGUCUUCCGCUCCA
This 75-nucleotide transfer RNA is filed under the name Caldisericota bacterium. Its description in RNAcentral is "tRNA-Gly". It matches the Rfam family "tRNA". Rfam says of the family: Transfer RNA (tRNA) molecules are approximately 80 nucleotides in length. The record is from RNAcentral. RNAcentral also lists the same sequence under 2 other names. Lineage: Bacteria; Pseudomonadati; Caldisericota.